CGUAAUAGCUCACUGGUCGAGUCGGCCUGCGCGGAAGAUGUAACGGGGCUAAACCAUGCACCGAAGCUGCGGCAGCGACACUGUGUGUUGUUGGGUAGGGGAGCGUUCUGUAAGCCUGUGAAGGUGUGUCGUGAGGCAUGCUGGAGGUAUCAGAAGUGCGAAUGCUGACAUAAGUAACGAUAAAGCGGGUGAAAAGCCCGCUCGCCGGAAGACCAAGGGUUCCUGUCCAACGUUAAUCGGGGCAGGGUGAGUCGACCCCUAAGGCGAGGCCGAAAGGCGUAGUCGAUGGGAAACGGGUUAAUAUUCCCGUACUUGGUGUUACUGCGAAGGGGGGACGGAGAAGGCUAUGUUGGCCGGGCGACGGUUGUCCCGGUUUAAGCGUGUAGGUGUGUGUUCCAGGUAAAUCCGGUUCACUUUAACACUGAGGCGUGACGACGAGGCACUACGGUGCUGAAGCAACAAAUGCCCUGCUUCCAGGAAAAGCCUCUAAGCAUCAGGUAACAUCAAAUCGUACCCCAAACCGACACAGGUGGUCAGGUAGAGAAUACCAAGGCGCUUGAGAGAACUCGGGUGAAGGAACUAGGCAAAAUGGUGCCGUAACUUCGGGAGAAGGCACGCUGACACGUAGGUGAAGUGAUUUACUCAUGGAGCUGAAGUCAGUCGAAGAUACCAGCUGGCUGCAACUGUUUAUUAAAAACACAGCACUGUGCAAACACGAAAGUGGACGUAUACGGUGUGACGCCUGCCCGGUGCCGGAAGGUUAAUUGAUGGGGUCAGCGCAAGCGAAGCUCCUGAUCGAAGCCCCGGUAAACGGCGGCCGUAACUAUAACGGUCCUAAGGUAGCGAAAUUCCUUGUCGGGUAAGUUCCGACCUGCACGAAUGGCGUAAUGAUGGCCAGGCUGUCUCCACCCGAGACUCAGUGAAAUUGAACUCGCUGUGAAGAUGCAGUGUACCCGCGGCAAGACGGAAAGACCCCGUGAACCUUUACUAUAGCUUGACACUGAACAUUGAGCCUUGAUGUGUAG
RNAcentral lists this ribosomal RNA (1025 nucleotides) under Salmonella enterica. Its description in RNAcentral is "partial 23S ribosomal RNA". It matches the Rfam family "Bacterial large subunit ribosomal RNA", at positions 1133 to 2141 of the family's 2925-position model. The record is from RNAcentral. Lineage: Bacteria; Pseudomonadati; Pseudomonadota; Gammaproteobacteria; Enterobacterales; Enterobacteriaceae.